CCUACGGGAGGCAGCAGUGGGGAAUAUUGCACAAUGGGCGCAAGCCUGAUGCAGCAACGCCGCGUGCGGGAUGACGGCCUUCGGGUUGUAAACCGCUUUCAGUUCCGACGAAGCGCAAGUGACGGUAGGAACAGAAGAAGGACCGGCCAACUACGUGCCAGCAGCCGCGGUGAUACGUAGGGUCCGAGCGUUGUCCGGAAUUAUUGGGCGUAAAGGGCUUGUAGGCGGUUUGUCACGUCGGAAGUGAAAACUCAGGGCUUAACCCUGAGCCUGCUUCUGAUACGGGCAAACUAGAGGAAUGCAGGGGAGAAUGGAAUUCCUGGUGGAGCGGUGGAAUGCGCAGAUAUCAGGAGGAACACCGGUGGCGAAGGCGGUUCUCUGGGCAUUUCCUGACGCUGAGAAGCGAAAGCGUGGGGAGCAAACAGGCUUAGAUACCCUGGUAGUCCACGCCGUAAACGGUGGGCACUAGGUGUGGGGAACAUUCCACGUUCUCCGUGCCGAAGCUAACGCAUUAAGUGCCCCGCCUGGGGAGUACGGCCGCAAGGCUAAAACUCAAAGGAAUUGACGGGGGCCCGCACAAGCGGCGGAGCAUGCGGAUUAAUUCGAUGCAACGCGAAGAACCUUACCUGGGUUUGACAUAUACCGGAAAGCUGCAGAGAUGUAGCCCCCGCAAGGUCGGUAUACAGGUGGUGCAUGGCUGUCGUCAGCUCGUGUCGUGAGAUGUUGGGUUAAGUCCCGCAACGAGCGCAACCCUCGUCCUAUGUUGCCAGCGGAUAAUGCCGGGGACUCAUAGGAGACUGCCGGGGUCAACUCGGAGGAAGGUGGGGAUGACGUCAAGUCAUCAUGCCCCUUAAGUCCAGGGCUUCACGCAUGCUACAAUGGCUGGUACAAAGGGCUGCAAAACCGCAAGGUCGAGCGAAUCCCAAAAAGCCAGUCUCAGUUCGGAUUGGGGUCUGCAACUCGACCCAUGAAGUCGGAGUCGCUAGUAAUCGCAGAUCAGCACGC
This 1005-nucleotide ribosomal RNA is filed under the name uncultured bacterium. RNAcentral's name for it is "bacterial SSU rRNA". It matches the Rfam family "Bacterial small subunit ribosomal RNA", at positions 338 to 1357 of the family's 1533-position model. The record is from RNAcentral.